Salmo salar (Atlantic salmon) is the source of this 1228-nucleotide non-coding RNA. The record is from RefSeq and is a predicted model, not a curated record. Lineage: Eukaryota; Metazoa; Chordata; Actinopteri; Salmoniformes; Salmonidae.
GUGCAAUGAUUGAAUAGCAUGUAUGUGUACAUUUAUUUUGCAAUGCUCACGUACGCGACUUGUCCGGUCAGCAUGUUUUAAGGCACUGCAAUGCAACACACGUGCCAAUAUCCUCCAAACACCGGCUUCUCGGGCAUUAUCACUUAAAUAUACAUUCUACAGACCCUACUGAGUAUUCCCUAGAAUCAUUUUUACUUCGGCACUUACAAUUGGCUUUAAAAGCAAACUAUUCUAUUUCACAUACAGUGAUUUGCACUGGGGGCAUUUAUUUGACCUUGGAACAUGUUUUAAAACCCAUAUGUUGCAAAUGUCACUUAAAUAUGAAAAAUAGCACAAUUAUUUUUUUCAUGUCAUGAAUUAAAAAGGUUAUUUACGCGUUUGUUAUUAUGUUGAACUUUUAUUUAGAACUUUUUUCGUGUUACGCUGAUCGUAAAGUGAAAGUAAAAUUAGUCCAGGGCCUACACUACUGCGAUCAAGGCUGCGGUCAGUUCAUCUCGAUACUUCAAAACUCCUAAGAACUUUACAAAUCCAGUGUGUGGGUCUUCCAGUGAGUUGGAGAGGAAUGAGGAACUAUGGCACAGUUUGAAACCUUGAUAUGGACUAGAACUAUUAUUUUGGUGCUUGGAAGCAUUGGAUCCUGUAUUGCAUGUGGUAGAGCUGAGCACAGAAUAGAGGAUGAAUGUUGUCUCAUGUGUUCACCAGGAAAUCAUGUACAUAAGCAUUGUACUGAAUUCACCACUACCUCCUGUGUGUCCUGUGCCGACUCUAUUUUCAUUGCUGGUCUCAUUAAAUGUGCACCAUGUUCCAGCUGUGAUUCAGGUUUGGUUGUGUGGGUAAAACAGCCAUGCAACCCACAAUCAGAUGAUUUUUGUGAGCCACUGGAGGGGUUCUUCUGUCUGUUCUCAAACAAAAAUGGUUGUGAAAUAGCCCAGAAACACAGAAGCUGUAAACCUGGUCAAUACAUCCAUCAGAGAGGAACAACAUCUUCAGAUACUGUGUGUUCUGACUGUACUGGUGAUACCUAUUCAGAUGGAUCAUUUACAUCCUGCCAGACAUACACACAAUGUGAAUCCUUGGGACUUCAGGAAAUUACACCAGGAUCUCCUUGGUGGGAUUCAGAGUGUGGACCACAACUAUCCCAUUCCACAGCUAGAAGCAGAAUUAGUGCUGUGGCAUCCAUGAUAGUUGUCAUGAUAUUAGCUGGAGCUGUUUUCUAAUUAAUAAUACU